AUGCGGCAUCGGAGGGCCUCUCAGAGAGAUCGCCAGAUUCAGGGGGACUUCAUGGGCAUGCCGUUCCCCGACGACACAUUCGACGCGGCCUACGCGAUCGAGGCGACGUGCCACGCCCCUGACGAGGUUGGGUGCUACAGGGAGAUCAACCGUGUGCUCCGACCCGGGCAACCGAUGGCAUUCUAUGAGUGGUGCAUGACGGAGCGGUUCGACCCGGGAAACCGCCGGCACGUGAUCUGCGUCAAGGACGUGGCGGAGGACUCUGCGGUGCGGUGGUACCAGCCCCUGGACCCGGACGCCGGCGCGUCGUGGACGACCGCCAACGGCUUCCGGCUCAGCUGCGUCGGGCGCCUCGUCACCCGCGGCAUGGUGAACAGGGAAGAGAUCUUCACGCCCAUGUUCUUCGUGCUGGCUCCCAAGAAACCCAACCUGACAGGGACUGGACAUCUGAAGUAUUAUAUGCCUAUUUCUUUGGUUGCCAUCUCCUGGAACUACCUAUCCUUUUUUUUGCGGAGUAUCUAA
RNAcentral lists this ribosomal RNA (522 nucleotides) under Triticum aestivum (bread wheat). Its description in RNAcentral is "partial small subunit ribosomal RNA". Lineage: Eukaryota; Viridiplantae; Streptophyta; Magnoliopsida; Poales; Poaceae. The record is from RNAcentral.